UUAGUUGCCAUCAUUCAGUUGGGUACUCUAGCGAGACUGCCGGUAAUAAACCGGAGGAAGGUGGGGAUGACGUCAAAUCAUCAUGCCCCUUAUGACCUGGGCUACACACGUGCUACAAUGGUUGGUACAACGAGUUGCGAGUCGGUGACGGCGAGCUAAUCUCUUAAAGCCAAUCUCAGUUCGGAUUGUAGGCUGCAACUCGCCUACAUGAAGUCGGAAUCGCUAGUAAUCGCGGAUCAGCACGCCGCGGUGAAUACGUUCCCGGGCCUU
RNAcentral lists this ribosomal RNA (270 nucleotides) under uncultured Streptococcus sp. Its description in RNAcentral is "partial 16S ribosomal RNA". It matches the Rfam family "Bacterial small subunit ribosomal RNA", at positions 1111 to 1382 of the family's 1533-position model. Lineage: Bacteria; Bacillati; Bacillota; Bacilli; Lactobacillales; Streptococcaceae. The record is from RNAcentral.